GACGUAGGAUGCAAGCGUUAUCCGGAAUUAUUGGGCGUAAAGAGUUUGUAGGCGGUUUGUUAAGUUGGAUGUUAAAUCUUUGAGCUCAACUCAAAAUUGGUAUCCAAAACUGGUAGACUAGAGACAGGUAGAGGUAAAUGGAACUCUGUGUGUAGGGGUAAUAUCCGUAGAUAUACAGAAGAACACCAAAAGCGAAGGCAAUUUACUGGACCUGUUCUGACGCUCAAGAACGAAAGCGUGGGUAGCAAACGGG
This 253-nucleotide ribosomal RNA is filed under the name uncultured bacterium. RNAcentral describes it as "partial 16S ribosomal RNA". It matches the Rfam family "Bacterial small subunit ribosomal RNA", at positions 524 to 776 of the family's 1533-position model. The record is from RNAcentral.